Molecule: ribosomal RNA, 1525 nt
Filed under: metagenome
Description: bacterial SSU rRNA
Rfam family: Bacterial small subunit ribosomal RNA
Source: RNAcentral
AGAGUUUGAUCCUGGCUCAGAACGAACGCUGGCGGCAUGGCUAAAACAUGCAAGUCGAACGCGAAAGCCAAAGCAGAUUUCGGUCUGUGGCGGCAAGUAGAGUGGCGAAAGGGCGAGUAAUACAUGGGUAACGUACCCUUGGCUCAGGGAUAGCUUCGGGAAACCGAAGGUAAUACCUGAUGAGACCACGGCGUCUAAAGGCGCAGCGGUCAAAGAUGGCCUCUGACAUAAGCUAUCGGCCUUGGAGCGGCCCAUGUCCUAUCAGCUAGUUGGCGAGGUAAUGGCUCACCAAGGCUACGACGGGUAGCGGGACUGAGAGGUUGGCCCGCCGCAUUGGGACUGAGACACUGCCCAGACUCCUACGGGAGGCUGCAGUAACGAAUAUUGGGCUAAUGCGCGAAAGCGUGACCCAGCAAUGCCGCGUGCGGGAGGAAGUCCUUCGGGAUGUAAACCGCUGUCAGGGGAUACCAAGCGACCCGGGUGAAUAAUCCGGGAAGUUGAGGAGCCCCAGAGGAAGCCACGGCUAACUUCGUGCCAGCAGCCGCGGUAAGACGAAGGUGGCGAGCGUUGUUCGGAAUCACUGGGCUUAAAGAGCACGUAGGCGGACCGUCAAGCGCUUUGUGAAAUCCCCCGGCUCAACCGGGGAGCUGCUUGGCGAACUGGCGGUCUUGAGGCAGGCAUGAGCGUGUGGAACUCUUGGUGGAGCGGUGGAAUGCGUAGAUAUCAAGAGGAACGCCGGAGGUGAAGACGAUGCGCUGGGCCUGACCUGACGCUGAGGUGCGAAAGCCAGGGGAGCGAACGGGAUUAGAUACCCCGGUAGUCCUGGCCCUAAACGAUGUCCACUAGGCCGACGGUUCUCUGACGGAUUAUCGGCCGGAACAAAAGCGUUAAGUGGACCGCCUGGGGAGUACGGUCGCAAGGCUAAAACUCAAAGGAAUUGACGGGGGCUCACACAAGCGGUGGAGCAUGUUGCUUAAUUCGAUACAACGCGAAGAACCUUAUCCUGGGCUUGACAUGUACGGAUGCCUCCCUGGAAACAGGACAGGUUGCCCUUCGGGGUGAAACGUACACAGGUGCUGCAUGGCUGUCGUCAGCUCGUGUCGUGAGAUGUUGGGUUAAGUACCGUAACGAGCGAAACCCUUGUCGUUAGUUGCCAGCGGGUCAUGCCGGGGACUCUAACGAGACUGCCGGUGUCAAACCGGAGGAAGGUGGGGAUGACGUCAAGUCCUCAUGGCCUUUAUGCCCAGGGCUGCAAACGUGCUACAAUGGCUGAGACAAACCGAAGCAAGACCGCGAGGUGGAGCAAAUCGGUAAAAAUCAGCCCCAGUUCGGAUUGGAGUCUGCAACUCGACUCCAUGAAGUUGGAAUCGCUAGUAAUCGCGUAUCAGCUACGACGCGGUGAAUAUGUUCCUGAGCCUUGUACACACCGCCCGUCAAGUCAUGGAAGCCGGGAGUACCCGAAGUCGCCUCAAUUCAGAGGUGCCGAAGGUAAGUUCGGUGACUGGGACUAAGUCGUAACAAGGUA